UCUCUGUUAGUAUAUCGGUUAGUACACGCGCCUGUCAUUGAGGUGGCCGCGCGAAAGCGGGGUUCGACUCCCCGACAGAGAG
This 82-nucleotide transfer RNA is filed under the name Dichomitus squalens. It matches the Rfam family "tRNA". Rfam says of the family: Transfer RNA (tRNA) molecules are approximately 80 nucleotides in length. Their secondary structure includes four short double-helical elements and three loops (D, anti-codon, and T loops). Further hydrogen bonds mediate the characteristic L-shaped molecular structure. tRNAs have two regions of fundamental functional importance: the anti-codon, which is responsible for specific mRNA codon recognition, and the 3' end, to which the tRNAs corresponding amino acid is attached (by aminoacyl-tRNA synthetases). tRNAs cope with the degeneracy of the genetic code in two manners: having more than one tRNA (with a specific anti-codon) for a particular amino acid; and 'wobble' base-pairing, i.e. permitting non-standard base-pairing at the 3rd anti-codon position. Lineage: Eukaryota; Fungi; Basidiomycota; Agaricomycetes; Polyporales; Polyporaceae. RNAcentral also lists the same sequence under 1 other name. The record is from Rfam by way of RNAcentral.